RNAcentral lists this ribosomal RNA (321 nucleotides) under uncultured eukaryote. Its description in RNAcentral is "partial 18S ribosomal RNA". It matches the Rfam family "Eukaryotic small subunit ribosomal RNA", at positions 1470 to 1796 of the family's 1831-position model. The record is from RNAcentral.
CCCUUAGAUGUCCUGGGCCGCACGCGCGCUACACUGAAAUGUUCAACAAGCCUCCUAGUUCGACAGGAUUUGGGAAAUCUUUGAACGCAUGUCGUGAUAGGGAUAGAUCAUUGCAAUUAUUGAUCUUGAACGAGGAAUUCCUAGUAAACGCGAGUCAUCAGCUCGCAUUGAUUACGUCCCUGCCCUUUGUACACACCGCCCGUCGCACCUACCGAUUGAAUGUUUCGGUGAAGAUUCCGGAUAGGACUUUUUUGAUUUAUUUCAAUUUUGUCUUAAAAGCUAUCUAAACCUCAACAUUUAGAGGAAGGUGAAGUCGUAACA